CUACUCAUCGUUAAGUUAAUAAUUUGUACGGAGAAAGAUCUUACCGGUUGGCAUUGUGUUUGUAACUGUGUUUUAUCAAAUUUUAAAAUUUUUUUUUUGUUAAAAUUGAGUGCGGUUUAUACUUUUUGGAUCGUUUUAAUGUGCUGAUGUCAAAAAUGAUUUUUAAAAAAUGAAAAAACAUCAUUGACAUGUAUUUCGGCACGAAAAGCUAUUUGAAAAAUACCCACAACCACACUGUCAAAUACGCUUUAUAAGUCGAAAUUGCACUUUUCAAAAAUAUGUGAUGAUACAGGACUUUCAGGAGAAAAUGUGUUUUUUUUAAAAAAAAAUUAUGAUGUUUUUAUUUUUUCUAUUUAUAGGUCGAGAUUUGAUUUGAAUUGAAUAAAUAAUUGAGUUUUUUUAUUUUAAAAUAGAAUUUAGGUGAAUUUUAAUAUCGUGAAGCCAUCCAUAUCCGAGUCUGGUAUAUUUUUUCCAAUCUCUUUCUCUUAGCUUUUAGCUAUUGCUGGACUCUAUCUGCUUUUAUUGGUCCACGUUGCAACUCUAGUCAAUUAAUCAGACCAGGCGCUGAUAAAAUGAUAGCGUCACUUCGUUAAAGAUUAUUAUUAUAGCACACUUGAAUGGACAUGAUAACAUGGCUGCAAAGUAACACUCUUAUGCCCUUUUAGGGCAUUUACUUGAUAAAGCCACGACCCACCAUAGAUUUUGGUUGACAAAAAAAUCUCUCCCAGACGACUUCUUCUUUUUCUUCUUCUAUUGAGAAUAUUUAUUUUCGUGUUUUUUUAUGAAAAAAUCUAGAAGCUUUUUUAUAUAUAUUUUUACAAAUUAUUUUGAUAUACUAAUAUUAAAAAUAUUUUUUUAAAAAAUAAAAAUAUUUUAAUAUAUUUUUAAAUAAAAAACACUUUAAAAUAUAAUUACUACUACAAUAUCUAAAUAUCAAAAGACACGGGCCUGGAUUUCUUUCUGGAAUAUUGUAAACAAUUUGGCCCCCACUUUUCAUUGCGUGUGUAGAAUAAUUAGAGUUUGUUUGACUCCUUGAGUUUGUUUACUACUUUGCUUUGCUUUGCUUUAAAGAAUAACAUUAAAGAUAUAUUUGAUUAAAAUUUUAAAAAAUAGAAUAAAUGUGAUUUUUAUGAUAAAAGAGUAUUUUAAAAAACAAUUUAAAAGUAUAUUAGUUUUUCAUUUCAAAAGCCAGAAAGUGAUGCUUAUAGAUGAGUGUUUAAUUAUUUUACUAAUAGUAUAUCAUAACAAUUCAUUAAAAAUAAUCCGAUAAGUUUAAUUUUACAACACAACACAACACAACAAAAGUCAAAUAAACUCUAAAUGGUAAUGCACGUAGAAGUUUACUAGUUAGUUAUCAAAGCAUUUAGCGUGGACGUACUUAUAUCCCUCAAAUGAUUUUGGGGCAAUUUCAUAGUAAAUUUAUUAAAUUGGGUUUGCCCCAAGGUAUAGAUUAAAGUUCAAUCUAAAAUAAUGUUGUUUUUUAAAAAGUAAAAAAAAAAUUAAUUUAAAGAUUUUUUAAAAAAAUAAAACUGAAUUUUAACUUAAUAAACCGAGUUAAACCGAGUUAACUUCAAAUCAGGUUAAACAGAAUUAAUUUAAAGAUUUUUCUAAAAUAAUGCAGCGCCCGGAACUCUUCUAAUUUCUCUGUUUCUAAUACGAUAUAUUCCUCAUCUCCUACAUAGUAGAACUUUAUCUUGCAGACCAGGAAUGUUAGAGAAUAAUAUAAAUCAUAUCAUGGGACCUCACCCAAUAGCUUAAGCUAUUGAGUUGAGAUGGUUCUUUGACAUGAUAUUAAAGCCUUGAUGACCAAGCGGUCACGAGUUCGAAUCUCACAAUCCCUAUUUAUUUGAUAAAAAUUAAGCACAAGGUAAUGUGGACCUGUGUAAGUUUCAAGUCUGAAAGGCUUUCACUUGAAGGGGUGUGUUAGAAAAUAAUAUAAAUCAUAUCAUGGGAACUUACCUAAUAGUUUAAGUUAUUGAAUUGAGAUAAUUCUUUAAUUUCACAAGGAAUACAAUUAAACACAAGGCACAAAGAUUUGGAGGAUGACUGACCGUAAGGUUUGAGUGAGCAAGGCGUCUUUGGCAUGAUCAUUCUCUGCUCUUGCUUUGACUAUUUGAAACAUUAGAUCAAGCCUGAGUUGAUUUUCAGAGCUCUGCUUGGAGAUUACGUUAGUUUCCUCUCUCAGUUUGGCAGCCUCUUCGCUUAUUUCUUGAAAUCUUUUCCUGAUUUCCUUCUGUCCCUCGCUGAUCUCAACCAUGUCAGCUCUUAUCCUUUUGACGCCCCUGCUUAAUUUCCUGUCAUUAUUUUCUCGUUUCUGUUUCAAGUAAUCUUUAGAUUGUUAGAAAUUAAAACAAAAAAGAAAAUGAAAAUAACAGUCACAAUUUGAGAUGUACAAUCUAAUUAUAAAACACACAAGUCCAAAAACAAUAAAAUGAAGAAGGGCAUGCACUUCUAAAUUAUAACUGCGGAAGUUUUCUUCGAGUUGCUCCGAGAGAAGUCCUCUCGCCAACUAAUUUUGUAUAAAUGCAGCUCUUCAUGGUCAACCUGCAUAUGCAUGAGAGUUUUGCUACGGUGAUGGUGAUAACUUCGUGAGCCAAGUAUUUAAUGAUCGCAAAAUAAAUAAACCUGUGAAGGAAACGUAGGUCGGUCCGUGGAUAAUCGAAAGCAAGUUGCCCACUCUUUUCCUCUGGGCCCCUCGCUAUAAGUCAGCAUUAAAUAAAGAAGAAGACAAUAGUAUUGUGUCUUAUCUUUGAUCGUGCGAUACCACGCGAAGGAUGCUGCUCGAUCUCAAGCUUUCGCACGAUGAUGGCCUUGUGAAGAGCGAAACCGAACUUUGUUUUGACAUCUGUACUUGUGAUGCAGUUAAGUCUGAAUUAGUUGGGAAUCCAUAUAAUUUAAGGAUUUGGAAAUUGCAAGUCAUCUGUAUUCGUUCUUGUCGGAAGCAUUAAUUGUGAUAUCUCCGCCAGUUAGAUUUGCAAAUAUUAGGAGGUAACCCAUGCAUCCUCUUAAACAUCGAUCACACCUGAGACAGACGAGAGAGAGAAGUUGAAACUCCACCAUGAAAGGUGGUGUCUGGUCAGCGGAGGAACCCGCAUGAAUGGCACAGGCCACUCCUAUUCUCUAGUGCAUUUGUUACACGGACCAACUAAGUUUUAUUUUUAAAUAUCUUUUAUGUAUGUUAAAAUACUUAAUUAUCCUUGAAUGUAUUUAAUAAUUACAAAAAAAAUCCAUAAUAAAAUGAUAAAAAAAUUAAUUUAAAGAUCUUUUAAAAAAAUAAAACUGAAUUUUAACUUAAUAAACCGAGUUAAACCGAGUUAACUUCAAGUCAGGUUAAACAGAAUUAAUUUAAAGAUUUUUCUAAAAUAAUGCAGCGCCCGGAACUCUUCUAAUUUCUCUGUUUCUAAUACGAUAUAUUCCUCAUCUCCUACAUAGUAGAACUUUAUCUUGCAGACCAGGAAUGUUAGAGAAUAAUAUAAAUCAUAUCAUGGGACCUCACCCAAUAGCUUAAGCUAUUGAGUUGAGAUGGUUCUUUGACAUGGUAUUAAAGCCUUGAUGACCAAGCGGUCACGAGUUCGAAUCUCACAAUCCCUAUUUAUUUGAUAAAAAUUAAGCACAAGGUAAUGUGGACCUGUGUAAGUUUCAAGUCUAAAGGGCUUUCACUUGAAGGGGUGUGUUAGAAAAUAAUAUAAAUCAUAUCAUGGGAACUUACCUAAUAGUUUAAGUUAUUGAAUUGAGAUAAUUCUUUAAUUUCACAAGGAAUACAAUUAAACACAAGGCACAAAGAUUUGGAGGAUGACUGACCGUAAGGUUUGAGUGAGCAAGGCGUCUUUGGCAUGAUCAUUCUCUGCUCUUGCUUUGACUAUUUGAAACAUUAGAUCAAGCCUGAGUUGAUUUUCAGAGCUCUGCUUGGAGAUUACGUUAGUUUCCUCUCUCAGUUUGGCAGCCUCUUCGCUUAUUUCUUGAAAUCUUUU
RNAcentral lists this long non-coding RNA (3971 nucleotides) under Populus trichocarpa (black cottonwood). RNAcentral describes it as "long non-coding RNA (PTRI_LNC001001)". Lineage: Eukaryota; Viridiplantae; Streptophyta; Magnoliopsida; Malpighiales; Salicaceae. The record is from RNAcentral.